AUGGCUCAGAUUGAACGCUGGCGGCGUGCUUAACACAUGCAAGUCGCGCGUGAAAGGACUUCGGUCCGAGUAAAGCGGCGCACGGGUGAGUAACGCGUGGAUGAUCUACCCAUGAGUUAGGAAUAACGGCUGGAAACGGUCGCUAAUACCAAAUACGCUCCGAUUUCAACUUCGGGGGAAAGGUGGCCUCUGCUUGCAAGCUACUGCUCAUGGAUGAGUCCGCGUCCCAUUAGCUAGUUGGUGGGGUAACGGCCCACCAAGGCGACGAUGGGUAGCCGGUCUGAGAGGAUGACCGGCCACACUGGGACUGGAACACGGCCCAGACUCCUACGGGAGGCAGCAGUGGGGAAUAUUGCGCAAUGGGCGAAAGCCUGACGCAGCGACGCCGCGUGAGGGAUGAAGGUCCUCGGAUCGUAAACCUCUGUCAGGAGGGAAGAACCGCCACGGUGCUAAUCAGCCGUGGUCUGACGGUACCUCCAAAGGAAGCACCGGCUAACUCCGUGCCAGCAGCCGC
Molecule: ribosomal RNA, 514 nt
Filed under: uncultured bacterium
Lineage: Bacteria
Description: bacterial SSU rRNA
Rfam family: Bacterial small subunit ribosomal RNA
Source: RNAcentral